UGUAUCAUAACACAAUGACAUAGUUCUCUGGAUUAGGAUACAGGGAAGGAAGCAUCUAUUACAGACUUGGUUUAAAAAAGUCAGAAAAGGUAUCUGUGAAACUGUUUGGGUUCCAACAUAUACUGCUAAGCCUGGCCGACUGACCCUUACUCAACCUCAGUGAGACUAUAAAGUUUGAGACACAGUAAUUCAUCUUGUGUUCAACACAAGGUUUACCUAGAAAGAUUAAGUUCACUCGCUAAAAAGUUAUAAAGUAACUGAAUGUGAGCAAUUUUGGAUUAACAUGAAACAAUGCUUUUCUUUCAGAACCACUUGGGGAGACAAAAUUAAGUCACAGUGGAAGACAAAAGCCGGGGCAACAGGAUGAAUGCAGCAGAAAGAGGAGCUGACCAGAGAGGAGCCUGCCAUUAAAUCACACAGUCAGUACCUCCUGCUUGACUCCACCGCUCGUCUUUUCUCUGCAACUUAUUUACCUGUGGCCUGACCUCCCGCUGGACCCUCCCUUACACCUCCAUCCCUGAUUACACAACUAUGGAAUCCAUUCCUCUCAAGAUCAAGAGGACCAGCAGUCAGUCAACUACCUGCUUCCUUAACAGGCUUUGACCAUGACCACAGUACGAAAUACGUUUAUAUCACAACCCAAUACAUAUACACAUACUACAUUGGGCUGCCUGGGUGGCUCAACUGGUAGAGCAUGAGACUCAGGGUAGUGAGUUCGAGCCACAUGUUGGACACAGAGAUUACUUAAUAAAAAAGUUUUUAAAUAAUAUCUGUCAUUAUUAAGGGUAGUAUAUUUAAUAUUCUCUAUCCAGUUCUAUUCCAUUUAUAUUUUUAAAAUGUCUGGGUCAUAUAAUGUUAAGUUAAAGAAGCCUCACGUAAAAAGUGCAUACUGUAUGAUUCCACUGAUAAGAAGGUCUGGAACAGCACAACUAAUCUACAGUGACAGACAUAAAAACAGCAGGCAUAUCAGCUGGGAGGGGAGGACAGGAUAGCCUGCUGGAGUGCUAGAAGCGUUCUAUGCAUUGAUCUGCGUGGUGGUUAUACAGGUGCCCAAAUGUGAAAUCCACUGCGCUAUUCAAUUAGUGUUCCAUGUAAGUUCUACUUCAAUUU
Long non-coding RNA from Acinonyx jubatus (cheetah), 1110 nucleotides. RefSeq lists it as uncharacterized. The record is from RefSeq and is a predicted model, not a curated record. Lineage: Eukaryota; Metazoa; Chordata; Mammalia; Carnivora; Felidae. The transcript is spliced from 4 exons.